CAGUAGCGCGGUAAUACGAAGGGGGCUAGCGUUGCUCGGAAUUACUGGGCGUAAAGGGAGCGUAGGCGGACAUUUAAGUCAGGGGUGAAAUCCCGGGGCUCAACCUCGGAAUUGCCUUUGAUACUGGGUGUCUUGAGUAUGAGAGAGGUAUGUGGAACUCCGAGUGUAGAGGUGAAAUUCGUAGAUAUUCGGAAGAACACCAGUGGCGAAGGCGACAUACUGGCUCAUUACUGACGCUGAGGCUCGAAAGCGUGGGGAGCAAACAGGAUUAGAUACCCCCGUAGUCCCUGUCUCUUAUACA
RNAcentral lists this ribosomal RNA (301 nucleotides) under uncultured bacterium. Its description in RNAcentral is "partial 16S ribosomal RNA". It matches the Rfam family "Bacterial small subunit ribosomal RNA", at positions 509 to 808 of the family's 1533-position model. The record is from RNAcentral.